This is a long non-coding RNA of Myotis davidii, 85 nucleotides long. RefSeq lists it as uncharacterized. The transcript has 3 exons. The record is from RefSeq and is a predicted model, not a curated record. Lineage: Eukaryota; Metazoa; Chordata; Mammalia; Chiroptera; Vespertilionidae.
UGGGUGGCUAGAUUCAUAUUAACACAUUACGUAUCGCAUAGAAAUCUCUAAGACAUAUGCCAGGGACUGCACAUUUUUGGGCAAA